This 878-nucleotide ribosomal RNA is filed under the name Phaeosphaeria sp. G330. RNAcentral's name for it is "eukaryotic LSU rRNA". The stretch from base 514 to 878 matches the Rfam family "Eukaryotic large subunit ribosomal RNA", at positions 1 to 361 of the family's 3401-position model. The record is from RNAcentral. Lineage: Eukaryota; Fungi; Ascomycota; Dothideomycetes; Pleosporales; Phaeosphaeriaceae.
UCUUGGUCAUUUAGAGGAAGUAAAAGUCGUAACAAGGUUUCCGUAGGUGAACCUGCGGAAGGAUCAUUACAUUUUCGAGGUGCUAACCGCACAUCGAUUCUACCCUUGUCUUUUGCGCACUCAUGUUUCCUCGGCGGGCUUGCCCGCCGAUUGGACAAAUUUAAAACCUUUUUAAUUUUCAAUCAGCGUCUGAAUAAACUAAAUAAUUACAACUUUCAACAACGGAUCUCUUGGUUCUGGCAUCGAUGAAGAACGCAGCGAAAUGCGAUAAGUAGUGUGAAUUGCAGAAUUCAGUGAAUCAUCGAAUCUUUGAACGCACAUUGCGCCCCUUGGUAUUCCAUGGGGCAUGCCUGUUCGAGCGUCAUUUGAACUCUCAAGCUUUGCUUGGUGUUGGGUGUUUGUCCUUUUAGGACUCGCCUCAAAACAAUUGGCAGCCAGCGUAUUAGUCUUGGAGCGCAGCACAUUUUGCGAUCUAGCUAGUAAAUUGGCAACCAUCAAGCCUUUUCUAACACUUGACCUCGGAUCAGGUAGGGAUACCCGCUGAACUUAAGCAUAUCAAUAAGCGGAGGAAAAGAAACCAACAGGGAUUGCCCUAGUAACGGCGAGUGAAGCGGCAACAGCUCAAAUUUGAAAUCUGGCUCUUUCAGAGUCCGAGUUGUAAUUUGCAGAGGGCGCUUUGGUGUUGGUAGCGGUCCAAGUUCUUUGGAACAGGACGUCACAGAGGGNGAGAAUCCCGUACGUGGUCGCUAACCUUCACUGUGUAAAGCCCCUUCGACGAGUCGAGUUGUUUGGGAAAUGCAGCUCUAAAUGGGAGGUAAAUUUCUUCUAAAAGCUAAAUNCUGGCCAGAGACCGAUAGCGCACAAGUAGAGUGAUCGAA